This 411-nucleotide ribosomal RNA is filed under the name uncultured Thelephoraceae. RNAcentral's name for it is "eukaryotic LSU rRNA". The stretch from base 105 to 259 matches the Rfam family "5.8S ribosomal RNA". The record is from RNAcentral. Lineage: Eukaryota; Fungi; Basidiomycota; Agaricomycetes; Thelephorales; Thelephoraceae.
CAUGGCGUGGGAGACUCUGUCCUCCUGUUGUGGUCCUACGUCUUUACACACACUCUGUAAUAAAGUCUCAUGGAAUGCANGACGCGUUUAACGCAAUACAAUACAACUUUCAGCAACGGAUCUCUUGGCUCUCGCAUCGAUNAAGAACGCAGCGAANUGCGAUAAGUAAUGUGAAUUGCAGAAUUCAGUGAAUCAUCGAAUCUUUGAACGCACCUUGCGCCCUUUGGCUAUACCGAAGGGCAUGCCUGUUUGAGUAUCAUGAACACCUCAACUCUAANGGUUUGCCAUGAUUAUCUUGGACUUUGGAGGUCUUGCCGGCCUGCGGUUGGCUCCGCACAAAUGGAUCACCUUGCCAGUGUUUGGUGGCAUCAGGGGUGUGAUAACUAUCUACGCCUGUGGUUUUCCACCGGA